UGAAUGGCGCUUUUUAGCGCCAUUUUUAUGCUCAAAAAGUUAAAAG
This is a non-coding RNA of Pseudoalteromonas sp. P1-25, 46 nucleotides long. The record is from Rfam. NCBI's taxonomy places the organism in Bacteria, Pseudomonadati, Pseudomonadota, Gammaproteobacteria, Alteromonadales, Pseudoalteromonadaceae.